AUAUCUGGAAAUAAAAUACAGACAAUGGGAAUUACCUGAUGAUAGCUGUCUUUCACAAAAUAGCUGUUCCCGAGACCUUCUGUGUUGAUGAGUUGAUUAAAACAUACAGUGCUGCUGGGAAGGAACAGCUCAUCCUUGGCAGAUGUUUGAAUUGAUCUCAUUCAAAGCACUUUGGGGAUUAGCUCAAGAGCCGUAAGCUGCCCACCUUUUCCCCAAAGAGCAACUGAUUUAUUGUAGCGCUGUGUAAUAGUUAAUGGGAUAGACUCAUCCAGUGCGCAAUUAUCCUGAGUUGGUAGAUACCUCUCCUAGGCUGCUUAUUAUUUUCAUCCAGCGCUUCCACAGUUCAAAACACACAUGUGGUGAAUGGACAAGAUGGACCUCAUCUUCUCAUGUGUAAAACAUCAACUUUGUCCUUGCUCUUUGAAGUGAAAUAAAUUCAAGUUUAUCCCGUUG
Long non-coding RNA from Candoia aspera, 453 nucleotides. RefSeq lists it as uncharacterized. The record is from RefSeq and is a predicted model, not a curated record. NCBI's taxonomy places the organism in Eukaryota, Metazoa, Chordata, Lepidosauria, Squamata, Candoiidae. The transcript is spliced from 2 exons.